This 616-nucleotide ribosomal RNA is filed under the name uncultured marine bacterium. RNAcentral's name for it is "bacterial SSU rRNA". It matches the Rfam family "Bacterial small subunit ribosomal RNA", at positions 8 to 605 of the family's 1533-position model. The record is from RNAcentral.
AGAGUUUGAUCAUGGCUCAGGAUGAACGCUGGCGGCGUGCCUAAUACAUGCAAGUCGAGCGAACUGAUUAGAAGCUUGCUUCUAUGACGUUAGCGGCGGACGGAUGAGUAACACGUGGGCAACCUGCCUGUAAGACUGGGAUAACUUCGGGAAACCGAAGCUAAUACCGGAUAGGAUCUUCUCCUUCAUGGGAGAUGAUUGAAAGAUGGUUUCGGCUAUCACUUACAGAUGGGCCCGCGGUGCAUUAGCUAGUUGGUGAGGUAACGGCUCACCAAGGCCACGAUGCAUAGCCGACCUGAGAGGGUGAUCGGCCACACUGGGACUGAGACACGCCCCAGACUCCUACGGGAGGCAGCAGUAGGGAAUCUUCCGCAAUGGACGAAAGUCUGACGGAGCAACGCCGCGUGAGUGAUGAAGGCUUUCGGGUCGUAAAACUCUGUUGUUAGGGAAGAACAAGUACGAGAGUAACUGCUCGUACCUUGACGGUACCUAACCAGAAAGCCACGGCUAACUACGUGCCAGCAGCCGCGGUAAUACGUAGGUGGCAAGCGUUAUCCGGAAUUAUUGGGCGUAAAGCGCGCGCAGGCGGUUUCUUAAGUCUGAUGUGAAAGCCCAC